This is a non-coding RNA of Paramuricea clavata, 213 nucleotides long. The record is from the annotation of a GenBank genome assembly. NCBI's taxonomy places the organism in Eukaryota, Metazoa, Cnidaria, Anthozoa, Malacalcyonacea, Plexauridae.
GCUUACAAUAGUUUUUGCUGGGAUUAUAUUAAUUCUGCUAUGUAUUUGGAUUGCGUGGAAGCGUUUUGAAUUCUGUCAUAUUAUGUCAGCAGUUCCUGGUCCCAAGGCUUGGCCUGUCGUUGGCAAUGCAUUGCAAUUGAAGAGGGAUCCACACGGUACGAGAUUCUUAGAAAGUAUUACCAGAAAGUUGGGUUUACAUUUGAAGUUUUCUGC